This 480-nucleotide long non-coding RNA is filed under the name Gossypium barbadense (sea-island cotton). RNAcentral describes it as "long non-coding RNA (GBAR_LNC002172)". The record is from RNAcentral. Lineage: Eukaryota; Viridiplantae; Streptophyta; Magnoliopsida; Malvales; Malvaceae.
AGGGUUUUAGUGGGUUUAGAGGUUCGGUUGGGUUUUGAUGAAAUCGGGCCCGGGCAAUUUGGGCUUCUACAGCUGCCCCUCUUUGCUCAUUGUCGUGCAACAGGAAUAGAGAAAUGACUUUCAAGGAAGACCAAAUUUGCCCGGUCUUGCUAGGUCUUGACUUGCUUUAGAACUCUUCUUGUUUAGUUAGUCCUUUUUCAGUCCACCGCAUCUUGUAGCUUUGGUUCACUCCACUGCAUCUUAUGAUAUACGCCUUGUAGCUUCAAUCUAUUCCAAUGUAACUUCAAGGAUAUGAAAUUUAUGGCUUCGAUCUACUUAACUGUAACUUCAGAAAGGUGAGAUCUACAACUUCAAUCUUCUCUUCUAUCGCUUCAGUGAGAUAAGGUUUGUGGUCUUUUCUUUUGCGAUUUCAGAAAGGCAAGAUCUGAUGCCCUUGAUCAACUCUACUGCAACUUUAAGGAGACAGAAUCUGACGUCUUC